RNAcentral lists this unclassified non-coding RNA (185 nucleotides) under rhizosphere metagenome. RNAcentral describes it as "partial ribosomal RNA internal transcribed spacer region". The record is from RNAcentral.
GGGUUAACGCCUCCGGGCACAAUCCCCACCCUCUGUAACCGCGGCCCGGAUUCGGCGCCUGGCGGGGAGCACCGCCCGUUCGCGGGCGUCCCCGCCUGCCGGAAUUAGCCAACCCUGCCUGGAAAAUUGAAGUCUGAGAACAAGUUAAAUUAAACAAAACUUUCAACAACGGAUCUCUUGGUUCU